This 182-nucleotide unclassified non-coding RNA is filed under the name Basidiomycota sp. Its description in RNAcentral is "partial contains small subunit ribosomal RNA, internal transcribed spacer 1, and 5.8S ribosomal RNA". The stretch from base 1 to 47 matches the Rfam family "Eukaryotic small subunit ribosomal RNA", at positions 1785 to 1831 of the family's 1831-position model. The record is from RNAcentral. Lineage: Eukaryota; Fungi; Basidiomycota.
AAAGUCGUAACAAGGUUUCCGUAGGUGAACCUGCGGAAGGAUCAUUAUCGAAUAAAAGAGAUGUGCGUCUCGCACUCUCGAAUCCAAUCACCUGUGCACUGAAUUUAUAUGCUCUGAAUGAACAAAUAUAUAUUAAUUAACCAAACGUAACACAACUUUCAACAACGGAUCUCUUGGUUCUC